AUUAUACCGCGAAACUGCGAAUGGCUCAUUAAAUCAGUUAUCGUUUAUUUGAUAGUACCUUACUACUUGGAUACCCGUGGUAAUUCUAGAGCUAAUACAUGCUGAAAAUCCCGACUCACGGAGGGAUGUAUUUAUUAGAUUAAAAACCAAUGCCCCUCGGGGCUUUCUGGUGAUUCAUGAUAACUUCUCGAAUCGCAUGGCCUUGCGCCGGCGAUGGUUCAUUCAAAUUUCUGCCCUAUCAACUUUCGAUGGCAGGGUCUUGGCCUGCCAUGGUUACAACGGGUAACGGAGGGUUAGGGCUCGACCCCGGAGAAGGAGCCUGAGAAACGGCUACUACAUCCAAGGAAGGCAGCAGGCGCGCAAAUUACCCAAUCCCGACACGGGGAGGUAGUGACAAUAAAUACUGAUACAGGGCUCUUUUGGGUCUUGUAAUUGGAAUGAGUACAAUUUAAAUCCCUUAACGAGGAACAAUUGGAGGGCAAGUCUGGUGCCAGCAGCCGCGGUAAUUCCAGCUCCAAUAGCGUAUAUUAAAGUUGUUGCAGUUAAAAAGCUCGUAGUUGAACCUUGGGCCUGGCUGGCCGGUCCGCCUCACCGCGUGCACUGGUUCGGCCGGGCCUUUCCCUCUGGGGAGCCCUAUGCCCUUCACUGGGUGUAGCGGGGAACCAGGACUUUUACUGUGAAAAAAUUAGAGUGUUCAAAGCAGGCCUAUGCUCGAAUACAUCAGCAUGGAAUAAUGGAAUAGGACGUGUGGUUCUAUUUUGUUGGUUUCUAGGACCGCCGUAAUGAUUAAUAGGGACAGUCGGGGGCAUCAGUAUUCAAUUGUCAGAGGUGAAAUUCUUGGAUCUAUUGAAGACUAACUACUGCGAAAGCAUUUGCCAAGGAUGUUUUCAUUAAUCAGGAACGAAAGUUAGGGGAUCGAAGACGAUCAGAUACCGUCGUAGUCUUAACCAUAAACUAUGCCGACUAGGGAUCGGACGAUGUUAUUUUUUGACUCGUUCGGCACCUUACGAGAAAUCAAAGUCUUUGG
This 1027-nucleotide ribosomal RNA is filed under the name Astrocystis cocoes. RNAcentral describes it as "SSU rRNA". It matches the Rfam family "Eukaryotic small subunit ribosomal RNA", at positions 73 to 1110 of the family's 1831-position model. The record is from RNAcentral. Lineage: Eukaryota; Fungi; Ascomycota; Sordariomycetes; Xylariales; Xylariaceae.